Ciona savignyi (Pacific transparent sea squirt) is the source of this 82-nucleotide non-coding RNA. Lineage: Eukaryota; Metazoa; Chordata; Ascidiacea; Phlebobranchia; Cionidae. The record is from Rfam.
GGUAGCAUGGCCGAGCGGUCUAAUGCGCUGGUUUAAGGCACCAGUCAUUUCGAUGGCGUGGGUUCGAAUCCCACUCCUGCCA